GAUGAACGCUGGCGGCGUGCCUAAUACAUGCAAGUCGAGCGAAUGGAUUAAGAGCUUGCUCUUAUGAAGUUAGCGGCGGACGGGUGAGUAACACGUGGGUAACCUGCCCAUAAGACUGGGAUAACUCCGGGAAACCGGGGCUAAUACCGGAUAACAUUUUGAACCGCAUGGUUCGAAAUUGAAAGGCGGCUUCGGCUGUCACUUAUGGAUGGACCCGCGUCGCAUUAGCUAGUUGGUGAGGUAACGGCUCACCAAGGCAACGAUGCGUAGCCGACCUGAGAGGGUGAGCGGCCACACUGGGAAGGAGACACGGCCCGGACUGCUACGGGAGGCAGCAGUAGGGAAGCUUCCGCAAUGGACGAAAGUCGGACGGAGCAACGCCGCGUGAGUGAUGAAGGCUUUCGGGUCGUAAAACUCUGUUGUUAGGGAAGAACAAGUGCUAGUUGAAUAAGCUGGCACCUUGACGGUACCUAACCAGAAAGCCACGGCUAACUACGUGCCAGCAGCCGCAGUAA
Molecule: ribosomal RNA, 515 nt
Filed under: uncultured bacterium
Lineage: Bacteria
Description: partial 16S ribosomal RNA
Rfam family: Bacterial small subunit ribosomal RNA
Source: RNAcentral